AUGAUGCAAAGAGAAAACCGGCGACUACAGCGCCGUCACACCCACGCCGACGAGUGCACGCAGCUCCUAGAGCCGCCGGCGACCGCUGCAUCGCAGCACCGGGAGCCACCGGAACUGCUCCAUCACAACACCGAGCUCGCCGCCGCGCCAAGCUUCAUUGCAACUCCGGCGGGAGCUUCAUUGCAGCUCCGGCGGCGCUCCAUUGCAGCUCCGACGGAGUCCAUUCCAUCGCCAUCGCAGCUUCAACGACUCCGGCGGCGCUCCAUUGCAGCUCCGACGGAGUCCAUUCCAUCCCCAUCGCAGCUUCAACGACUCCGGCGACGCUCAACUGCAGCUCAGCGCGGCGCGAGCGUUGCAUAG
Molecule: ribosomal RNA, 360 nt
Filed under: Triticum aestivum (bread wheat)
Lineage: Eukaryota; Viridiplantae; Streptophyta; Magnoliopsida; Poales; Poaceae
Description: partial small subunit ribosomal RNA
Source: RNAcentral